CCUACGGGCGGCAGCAGUGAGGAAUAUUGGUCAAUGGGCGCAAGCCUGAACCAGCCAAGCCGCGUGAAGGACGAAGGUGCCAAGCAUUGUAAACUUCUUUUGUCAAGGGACAAAAUCAGGCUCGAGAGCCUGACCGAGGGUACUUGAAGAAAAAGCAUCGGCUAACUCCGUGCCAGCAGCCGCGGUAAUACGGAGGAUGCGAGCGUUAUCCGGAUUUAUUGGGUUUAAAGGGUGCGUAGGCGGGCUGUUAAGUCAGCGGUAAAAGCCCGGGGCUCAACCCCGGCGAGCCGUUGAAACUGGCUGUCUUGAGAUGUCGAGAGGUAUGCGGAAUGCGCAGUGUAGCGGUGAAAUGCUUAGAUAUUGCGCAGAACUCCGAUUGCGAAGGCAGCAUACCGGCGGCGAUCUGACGCUGAGGCACGAAAGCGUGGGUAUCGAACAGGAUUAGAUACCCGGGUAGUC
RNAcentral lists this ribosomal RNA (459 nucleotides) under uncultured bacterium. RNAcentral's name for it is "partial 16S ribosomal RNA". It matches the Rfam family "Bacterial small subunit ribosomal RNA", at positions 338 to 795 of the family's 1533-position model. The record is from RNAcentral.